UUUACUUCCAGAAAAGAAAAAGACAGCUGCUAAAGUCAGGGGGAAUACAGAAAAUAGAGUGGCAAGAAUGGGGACCAAGUGUAGCUCCUGAGGGACUAUCCAUGGCUUGAGAACAAGACAAACUACUGUGAUCCAGCAAACAGACCUUGAAAAGAGGGCAACUUCUUGCUGAGGACAGAGUCAGAUAAAAGAGGAAGUACUCUUCUAACAAAAAUUGUUAUAGAGACUUUCGUCCUUUUGAACUUUCCCUGCCUUUGGGGUCAUCAUCAAAGAAUAGAAAAGAAGUAUUUUUUCC
Molecule: long non-coding RNA, 295 nt
Filed under: Naja naja (Indian cobra)
Lineage: Eukaryota; Metazoa; Chordata; Lepidosauria; Squamata; Elapidae
Description: lncRNA (ENSNNAG00000009052.1)
Source: RNAcentral